GAUGAACGCUAGCGGCAGGCUUAACACAUGCAAGUCGAGGGGUAGAGGAAGCUUGCUUCCUUGAGACCGGCGCACGGGUGCGUAACGCGUAUGCAAUCUACCUUAUACAGGGGAUAGCCAGAGAAAUUUGGAUUAAUACCCCAUAGCAUAAUUGAAUGGCAUCAUUUAAUUAUUAAAGUUCCAACGGUAUAAGAUGAGCAUGCGUCCCAUUAGCUAGUUGGUGUGGUAACGGCACACCAAGGCGACGAUGGGUAGGGGUCCUGAGAGGGAGAUCCCCCACACUGGUACUGAGACACGGACCAGACUCCUACGGGAGGCAGCAGUGAGGAAUAUUGGUCAAUGGGCGCAAGCCUGAACCAGCCAUGCCGCGUGCAGGAUGACGGUCCUAUGGAUUGUAAACUGCUUUGUACAGGAAGAAACACUCCCUCGUGAGGGAGCUUGACGGUACUGUAAGAAUAAGGAUCGGCUAACUCCGUGCCAGCAGCCGCGUAA
Molecule: ribosomal RNA, 492 nt
Filed under: uncultured bacterium
Lineage: Bacteria
Description: bacterial SSU rRNA
Rfam family: Bacterial small subunit ribosomal RNA
Source: RNAcentral